RNAcentral lists this ribosomal RNA (796 nucleotides) under uncultured methanogenic archaeon. Its description in RNAcentral is "bacterial SSU rRNA". It matches the Rfam family "Archaeal small subunit ribosomal RNA", at positions 85 to 879 of the family's 1478-position model. Lineage: Archaea; Methanobacteriati; Methanobacteriota. The record is from RNAcentral.
ACGGCUCAGUAACACGUGGAUAACCUGCCCUUGGGUCCGGCAUAACCCCGGGAAACUGGGGAUAAUUCCGGAUAACGCACAUAUGCUGGAAUGCUUUAUGCGUAAAAUGGAUUCGUCUGCCCAAGGAUGGGUCUGCGGCCUAUCAGGUAGUAGUGGGUGUAAUGUACCUACUAGCCAACAACGGGUACGGGUUGUGAGAGCAAGAGCCCGGAGAUGGAUUCUGAGACAUGAAUCCAGGCCCUACGGGGCGCAGCAGGCGCGAAAACUUUACAAUGCGGGAAACCGUGAUAAGGGGACACCGAGUGCCAGCGUCAUACGCUGGCUGUCCAGGUGUGUAAAAUACACCUGUUAGCAAGGGCCGGGCAAGACCGGUGCCAGCCGCCGCGGUAACACCGGCGGCCCGAGUGGUGAUCGUGAUUAUUGGGUCUAAAGGGUCCGUAGCCGGUUUGGUCAGUCCUCCGGGAAAUCUGAUAGCUCAACUAUUAGGCUUUCGGGGGAUACUGCCAGGCUUGGAACCGGGAGAGGUAAGAGGUACUACAGGGGUAGGAGUGAAAUCUUGUAAUCCCUGUGGGACCACCUGUGGCGAAGGCGUCUUACCAGAACGGGUUCGACGGUGAGGGACGAAAGCUGGGGGCACGAACCGGAUUAGAUACCCGGGUAGUCCCAGCCGUAAACGAUGCUCGCUAGGUGUCAGGCAUGGCGCGACCGUGUCUGGUGCCGCAGGGAAGCCGUGAAGCGAGCCACCUGGGAAGUACGGCCGCAAGGCUGAAACUUAAAGGAAUUGGCGGGGGAGCAC